Long non-coding RNA from Peromyscus eremicus (cactus mouse), 1601 nucleotides. RefSeq lists it as uncharacterized. Lineage: Eukaryota; Metazoa; Chordata; Mammalia; Rodentia; Cricetidae. The transcript has 3 exons. The record is from RefSeq and is a predicted model, not a curated record.
CUGGUCAUGCCUGGUCAAUGAUGGUGGUUUUGAUUCUUAAAAAUGUUUGUUGCAAGGUUGGAAAUAGGACUCAGAGGUUAUGAGCACUGGCUUCAUUUCCAGAGGACUGGCUUUGAUUCCCAGUACCCACAGGGCAGCUCAUAACUGUCUGAACUCUAGUGCCAGGAGAGCCAACUCCCUCUUCUGGUUUCUGCAGGUACCAGGCUCGUGGGAGGUCCAGAAACAUACUCCCUGGCACAACACCCAUGCACAUAAAAUAAAAUAAUAAUAGUGUUUGUUGGGUGAACAUAAGGAGCAGUAUUUUUUUUUUAUUUUUUAUUGUAUCUAGUUAUUUUUGAGAAGCACAUGAAACAACACACUCGUGAAUGUCACAAACAGCCUGCAGGAGUCACUUUUCUCCUACCACAUUUCCUGGCUGAGAUAUCCUAACCAACUAUUCUCGUUACUUUGUUGCUGUGAUGCACACCAUGACCAAAAGCAGCUUGGGGAAGAUCGAGUUUAGAUAGCUUUCACUUACAGGUGAGGGAAGGAAAGGCAGGAACCUGGAGCAGGAGCCAUGGAGGAACACGGCUUACUGGCUUUCUCACUAGCUUAUGUUUAGCUAGCUUUCUUUUUUAAAUUGUUUCAAAUUUUUAUUUAUGUAUUUAUUUGAUGUGUGUGCAUGUGUCUGGUAGGGGUCCCCGUGGAGGCCAGAGAGGCCGUCAGAUCCUUUGGAGAUGCAAUUACAGGCACUUAUUUGUAAGCCACUUGAUGUGGAUGCUUUGACCUGAACUAUUGUCUUCAUGGCUUCGCAUCAAGUGCUCUUCAUAGCUGGGCCUUCUCUCCAGCCCCAUGGCUAGCUUUCGUAUACUGCCCAAACCCACCUGCAUAGGGAUGGUGCCACCCACAAUGGGCUCUGCCCUUCCAUAUCAGUCAUCAAUCAAGACAAUCUCUUACAGAUAGGGCCUCAGGCCAGUCUGAUCUGGCCAAUCCCUCGGUUGCAGGUCUCUCUGACUAUAGGAUGUGUCAAGUUGACAAUAAAAACCAACCAGGACAUGAACAUUAUUUCAAAGGGACAAAAGUCAGGCCUGCACAAAGAUUAAAAGCAGAGCUUAACCAACAAAGUUCUGUUUAAUUUUGCUGAGUUUAUUUCUCUCCUUUUUCAGACAGGAUCUUUCUGUUUUGCAGGAUGGUCUUCAUUUUACCAUCCUCUGCCUCAGCCUCUCAAAUGCUGGCAUAAAGCAUGAAUGGUGCUCCCAUGAACUCUCAACAAUGUGGCUGCCUGCCUAAGACCUGCAAAGACCACACCAACUGACAUGCCAACAUGGAUAGAGGGUUACACUCCACAGCGCAAACGAUCUAAGAGCAUGCUCCUUUACUUAUUUUCAACUGCAACAAAUGUGAGUGUGGUUACAUGUCUGAUGUAGAAAUGAAUCAAGCCAGGUACAGUAGUAGGUUUCGACUUGCUCUAAGCACCGUUUCCCUUCCUAAUUAGUUUGUCCUCUCUCUACAGUUAGAGGUGGUGCUCACAGUGCCUUGGAAUAUGCUUUUGAAUGUUUUGGUUUUCCAUGAAAAUGUUUACAGCACAGAAAAGCAGAGGGAGAGAAAAGAGCAAAGAUCAA